Molecule: ribosomal RNA, 433 nt
Filed under: Leptotrichia hofstadii
Lineage: Bacteria; Fusobacteriati; Fusobacteriota; Fusobacteriia; Fusobacteriales; Leptotrichiaceae
Description: bacterial SSU rRNA
Rfam family: Bacterial small subunit ribosomal RNA
Source: RNAcentral
GCUUAACACAUGCAAGUCUUUGGCGAAUCUGUGCUUGCACAGGCUAGCCAAGGCGGACGGGUGAGUAACGCGUAAAGAACUUGCCCUGCAGACAGGGAUAACAGACGGAAACGACUGACAACACCUGAUACAGUUGCCGGCACGCAUGUGCCUGGCAAUGAAAAGAGAUGCUGCGGGAGAGCUUUGCGUCCUAUUAGCUUGUUGGCGGGGUAACGGCCCACCAAGGCGAUGAUAGGUAGCCGGCCUGAGAGGGUGAACGGCCACAAGGGGACUGAGAUACGGCCCUUACUCCUACGGGAGGCAGCAGUGGGGAAUAUUGGACAAUGGGGGCAACCCUGAUCCAGCAAUUCUGUGUGCACGAGGAAGGUUUUCGGAUUGUAAAGUGCUUUCAGCAGGGAAGAAGGAAGUGACGGUACCUGCAGAAGAAGCGACG